UCAUUAAAGAGUUCUAUAACUCCCAAACCCAUGUGAACAUACCUAACGUUGCCUCGGCAGGUCGCACCUACCUUGUAGCACCCUACCCUGUAGGGCCUACCCGGGAGGUGCGGGUAAGCCUGCCGGCGGCCCACCAAACUCUGUUUGAUAUUGAAUUCUGAACCUAUAACUAAAUAAGUUAAAACUUUCAACAACGGAUCUCUUGGUUCUGGCAUCGAUGAAGAACGCAGCGAAAUGCGAUAAGUAAUGUGAAUUGCAGAAUUCAGUGAAUCAUCGAAUCUUUGAACGCAUAUUGCGCCCAUUAGUAUUCUAGUGGGCAGGACCGUUCGAGCGUCAUUUCAACCCUUAAGCCUUCGUUGCUUAGUGUUGGGAGCCUACGGCAACGUAGCUCCUCAAAGUUAGUGGCGGAGUUGGUUCACACUCUAGACGUAGUAAUUUUUAUCUCGCCUAUUAGUUGGACUAAUCCCCUGCCGUAAAACCCCCAAUUUAUCAAGGUUGACCUCGAAUCGGUUCAGACAAACUCGCUAAAUUGAAGCAUCUUAGUCAGCGAAGGAAAAGAAACCAACAGGGAUUGCCCUAGUAACGGCGAGUGAAGCGGCAACAGCUCAA
This 609-nucleotide ribosomal RNA is filed under the name fungal endophyte. RNAcentral describes it as "eukaryotic LSU rRNA". The stretch from base 183 to 336 matches the Rfam family "5.8S ribosomal RNA". Lineage: Eukaryota; Fungi. The record is from RNAcentral.